This 934-nucleotide ribosomal RNA is filed under the name uncultured Ascomycota. Its description in RNAcentral is "eukaryotic LSU rRNA". It matches the Rfam family "Eukaryotic large subunit ribosomal RNA", at positions 1 to 948 of the family's 3401-position model. The record is from RNAcentral. Lineage: Eukaryota; Fungi; Ascomycota.
CGUUUGACCUCGGAUCAGGUAGGGAUACCCGCUGAACUUAAGCAUAUCAAUAAGCGGAGGAAAAGAAACCAACAGGGAUUGCCCUAGUAACGGCGAGUGAAGCGGCAACAGCUCAAAUUUGAAAUCUGGCUCUUUUAGAGUCCGAGUUGUAAUUUGCAGAGGGCGCUUUGGCUUUGGCAGCGGUCCAAGUUCCUUGGAACAGGACGUCACAGAGGGUGAGAAUCCCGUACGUGGUCGCUAGCUAUUGCCGUGUAAAGCCCCUUCGACGAGUCGAGUUGUUUGGGAAUGCAGCUCUAAAUGGGAGGUAAAUUUCUUCUAAAGCUAAAUAUUGGCCAGAGACCGAUAGCGCACAAGUAGAGUGAUCGAAAGAUGAAAAGCACUUUGGAAAGAGAGUCAAACAGCACGUGAAAUUGUUGAAAGGGAAGCGCUUGCAGCCAGACUUGCUUGCAGUUGCUCAUCCGGGCUUUUGCCCGGUGCACUCUUCUGCAGGCAGGCCAGCAUCAGUUUGGGCGGUGGGAUAAAGGUCUCUGACACGUUCCUUCCUUCGGGUUGGCCAUAUAGGGGAGACGUCAUACCACCAGCCUGGACUGAGGUCCGCGCAUCUGCUAGGAUGCUGGCGUAAUGGCUGUAAGCGGCCCGUCUUGAAACACGGACCAAGGAGUCUAACAUCUAUGCGAGUGUUUGGGUGUCAAGCCCGAGCGCGUAAUGAAAGUGAACGGAGGUGGGAACCCGCAAGGGUGCACCAUCGACCGAUCCUGAAGUUUACGGAAGGAUUUGAGUAAGAGCAUGGCUGUUGGGACCCGAAAGAUGGUGAACUAUGCUUGAAUAGGGUGAAGCCAGAGGAAACUCUGGUGGAGGCUCGCAGCGGUUCUGACGUGCAAAUCGAUCGUCAAAUUUGGGCAUAGGGGCGAAAGGACUAAUCGAACUAUCUAGU